Molecule: ribosomal RNA, 264 nt
Filed under: uncultured bacterium
Lineage: Bacteria
Description: partial 16S ribosomal RNA
Rfam family: Bacterial small subunit ribosomal RNA
Source: RNAcentral
CUAAUCCUACGGGAGGCAGCAGUGGGGAAUAUUGCACAAUGGGCGCAAGCCUGAUGCAGCGACGCCGCGUGCGGGAUGGAGGCCUUCGGGUUGUAAACCGCUUUUGUUCAAGGGCAAGGCACGGUCUCUGGCCGUGUUGAGUGGAUUGUUCGAAUAAGCACCGGCUAACUACGUGCCAGCAGCCGCGGUAAUACGUAGGGUGCAAGCGUUAUCCGGAUUUAUUGGGCGUAAAGGGCUCGUAGGCGGUUCGUCGCGUCCGGUGGG